This 73-nucleotide transfer RNA is filed under the name Stegodyphus mimosarum. It matches the Rfam family "tRNA". Rfam says of the family: Transfer RNA (tRNA) molecules are approximately 80 nucleotides in length. The record is from Rfam by way of RNAcentral. Lineage: Eukaryota; Metazoa; Arthropoda; Arachnida; Araneae; Eresidae.
GCCUUCUUGGUGUAGUGGUCAGCACGCUCGGCGCGUAUUCGAGAGGCUCGUGGUUCGAGUCCCGGCGAGGGCA